UAGCGGAAGUCAGGCCCCUGAGCACUGGGUCAUCUGCUGCUGGGGUGGGGGCCCCAGCCUCCCUGUUUUCUCCUAUCUCUGUACCAAGUGGAGCCACAAAGAAGGAGCAACACAAGCAAGAAAAAUCAGACCGUGAAAGGUUUCUGAGAAUUUCUGAACCAUCUGGAAGAGGUUCAGGACCUGUUCUCCCUUCUGGAAAGCCUGAUCCAUCCUCAGCACGAGGCAAGAAACACAGGAAGAGCAGGAAGGUAAGGAACCCUCAUCCCAGACCCAGCAUACCUGUAACUCGAUCAUCUUUUCUAUUAUUCUUUCCACUUUUCCGAGUCACUGGAGAGACUCACAAAAUGGGAAAGAAUAGAAUGGGUAUUCUCAGGAGAGAGAAGACCACCAUCCAUCCAAGACAAGCCAGACCAGGCAAGGGUUAGAGGGACAUGAGGAUUUCUCCCUGAAGAUCUCCAGCCGGAGUCCGGUUGUGGUGGUGGUGGGGGGGGGGGUCUAGGGCAGCAUCCCAAACACAGUGACGGGUGGCCAAGGACCGGAGGUUAAGAGCUGCCUCUCUAGCAGAAGUCAGGCCCCUGAGCACUGGGUCAUCUGCUGCUGGGGUGGGGGCCCCAGCCUCCCUGUUUCCUCCUAUCUCUGUACCAAGUGGAGCCACAAAGAAGGAGCAACACAGGCAAGAAAAAUCAGA
This is a long non-coding RNA of Mustela lutreola (European mink), 688 nucleotides long. RefSeq lists it as uncharacterized. The transcript has 3 exons. The record is from RefSeq and is a predicted model, not a curated record. Lineage: Eukaryota; Metazoa; Chordata; Mammalia; Carnivora; Mustelidae.